GAACUUUAAAAUUUUUCCAUUUUUUUUAUUUAAGGUAGAAUUCUCGGACUGGCUGUAAUCCUACUUAAUCAGCAUAAUUUUGUUUUUUCAGUAUCGGGAAGCUUUCUUGAAAGCCAAUCCGGGAUUUAAGUGGUAUAAAUUACCAGCCCCGACAUUGAGGCCUAUUAGUAAUAGACUGAAACUUCUCCCAGACCUUAUUUCUCAUCAAGAUUCUAUCACUCCAGGGAAGCUUGCAGACGAGUCUCAACUUGGAGGACUUACCAGUCUACUUGUGCCUUACAAUAACAUGUCUGUUUCUCCCACCUUUGCCGUUCAAUGUGUACCAAAACCUCCCAAAAGCGCUAUCUUGAGGAAAAUGCAACCUCUGAUGAUCUAAAUCAAAUUUUGGAUGAGAUGCCAAACAAAGCAGCACUUGAGUCGGAAGCUGUUCCUAGUUAUUCCGAAAAUGAUUCUAGUGCUAUAAAAGCAAUAGAGAUCGAACCGUUUGCAAAGUUGCGUAAUUACUCAGUAACAGCCAAAGAAAACAUUGCUCAAGUGGAGAAUAAAUCUGAUGUAAAAAGUAUGUUGUUGCUUAGCAAUGGUUCUCUUGAAGCUUCGUCUGUUAAUAGUUGUUUAGUCGUUAAAAGUAAUACAAUAGUUUUUCUUACA
This 648-nucleotide long non-coding RNA is filed under the name Bemisia tabaci. RNAcentral's name for it is "lncRNA ENSSSA2NGG005670". Lineage: Eukaryota; Metazoa; Arthropoda; Insecta; Hemiptera; Aleyrodidae. The record is from RNAcentral.